RNAcentral lists this transfer RNA (61 nucleotides) under Imatidium capense. RNAcentral describes it as "tRNA-His". Lineage: Eukaryota; Metazoa; Arthropoda; Insecta; Coleoptera; Chrysomelidae. The record is from RNAcentral.
GUUUAGAUAGUUUAAAUUAAAACGUUGAUUUGUGGUUUCAAGGAUAAAAUUUUUCUAAACA